This 301-nucleotide ribosomal RNA is filed under the name uncultured bacterium. RNAcentral's name for it is "partial 16S ribosomal RNA". It matches the Rfam family "Bacterial small subunit ribosomal RNA", at positions 509 to 809 of the family's 1533-position model. The record is from RNAcentral.
CAGUAGCCGCGGGAAAACGUAGGUGGCAAGCGUUGUCCGGAAUUAUUGGGCGUAAAGGGCUCGCAGGCGGUUUCUUAAGUCUGAUGUGAAGGCCCCCGGCUCAACCGGGGAGGGUCAUUGGAAACUGGGAAACUUGAGUGCAGAAGAGGAGAGUGGAAUUCCACGUGUAGCGGUGAAAUGCGUAGAGAUGUGGAGGAACACCAGUGGCGAAGGCGACUCUCUGGUCUGUAACUGACGCUGAGGAGCGAAAGCGUGGGGAGCGAACAGAAUUAGAUACCCCUGUAGUCCCUGUCUCUUAUAA